UACGUAGGGUCCGAGCGUUUGUCCGGAAUUACUGGGCGUAAAGAGCUCGUAGGUGGUUUGUCGCGUUGUUCGUGAAAACUCACAGCUCAACUGUGGGCGUGCGGGCGAUACGGGCAGACUGGAGUACUGCAGGGGGAGACUGGAAUUCCUGGUGUAGCGGUGGAAUGCGCAGAUAUCAGGAGGAACACCGGUGGCGAAGGCGGGUCUCUGGGCAGUAACUGACGCUGAGGAGCGAAAGCGUGGGGAGCGAACAGG
RNAcentral lists this ribosomal RNA (255 nucleotides) under uncultured bacterium. RNAcentral describes it as "partial 16S ribosomal RNA". It matches the Rfam family "Bacterial small subunit ribosomal RNA", at positions 524 to 776 of the family's 1533-position model. The record is from RNAcentral.